This 451-nucleotide ribosomal RNA is filed under the name Micrevania sp. 298. Its description in RNAcentral is "eukaryotic LSU rRNA". The record is from RNAcentral. Lineage: Eukaryota; Metazoa; Arthropoda; Insecta; Hymenoptera; Evaniidae.
CCUGAGAAACCCGAAAGAUCGAAUGGGGAGAUUCACCGUCAGCGACGUCGGUUUCGCGGUGGUUCGCGAUGCGCGGCGCCCUUCACGGGCGACGUCGCACGCGGCCGCCGUGUUCAUGUCCGGCGGCGUCGGCGUGCACUUCUCCCCUAGUAGGACGUCGCGACCCGUUGGGUGUCGGUCUACGGCCUGGGUCGUCGCCUGUCCCGUCGCUUCGGCGUUGCGGGGCAGACACCCGGUAGCCCGGCCGGCUGCCCGGCGGUACUCGCACGGUAUCUGGCCGCAAUCUCGAACUGCGUCUCAGGCCCGCCGCAAGCGCGGUCAGUGUAUACCCGGAGGUACGGACCCAGUGCCGUCACCGGGCCUGGCCCGCUGUUCGCCGGCGGUGUCCUCUGACAGGCCACGCGUUUCGUUGAUACCGGUCGGCGACGCUACUGCUUUGGGUACUUUCAGG